AUUUGUUUCAAGAAAGUAAGUGAUUUAGUUCAAAAUGUCAUUUUAAGAUUUUUAAUCUUUAAUAAUAUUAUGGUGUUAUUACCAGAUAUUUGGCAGUAUGAAACCUAUAAUAUUAUAUACAAUAUUAUAUACCCUAUUUUACUUAUAAAAUUAAUAAUCUGUAAAGUAAUUUGUAAAAGAUUUUUAAUUGUAAAAUUUCUACAUGAGAAAACAAGUUUUUAGAUGAAAUUCAAAUAUUCUCUAUGCUUGUGUUUUGUAGGUCAAAAAAUAGUAAAGAUGAUAUUGAUUGUGAUGACCAAGAGAUUCAUUUUAAGACACAUCAAUCUUAAUCAUCUUAAAUUAAAAAGGAUAAAUAUGAUAGAAUUCCAUUAUCUCAAGCAAUUUGUGCAUCGACUGCUCACUAAUCAUUUACAGAGUCGAUUGUUGAUGCAAUAAUUACUGAUUCGUUAAAACUGGCAACUUCUACUUGUGUUAAAGUACCUUAAAUCCAACAGAUAUCAUCGUUACGAUAUUAAUUUGUUUGUAAAUUGUUUUAGAAAAUAAAUUUAAAAAUAACUUUUAAAUAAA
Hydra vulgaris (swiftwater hydra) is the source of this 567-nucleotide long non-coding RNA. RefSeq lists it as uncharacterized. NCBI's taxonomy places the organism in Eukaryota, Metazoa, Cnidaria, Hydrozoa, Anthoathecata, Hydridae. The record is from RefSeq and is a predicted model, not a curated record.